Molecule: ribosomal RNA, 254 nt
Filed under: uncultured bacterium
Lineage: Bacteria
Description: partial 16S ribosomal RNA
Rfam family: Bacterial small subunit ribosomal RNA
Source: RNAcentral
UACGUAGGGGGCAAGCGUUGUUCGGAUUUACUGGGCGUAAAGGGCGCGUAGGCGGUCGUGACAAGUCACUUGUGAAAUCUCCGGGCUUAACUCGGAACGGUCAAGUGAUACUGUCGGACUAGAGUACAGAAGGGGCAACUGGAAUUCUCGGUGUAGCAGUGAAAUGCGUAGAUAUCGAGAGGAACACCUGCGGCGAAGGCGGGUUGCUGGGCUGAUACUGACGCUGAGGCGCGAAAGCCAGGGGAGCGAACGGG